GACGAACGCUGGCGGCGUGCUUUACACAUGCAAGUCGAGCGAUGAGAUCCCUUCGGGGAAGGAUUAGCGGCGAACGGGUGAGGAACACGUGAGGAAUCUGCCUUCAACACCGGGAUAACUCCGGGAAACCGGGGCUAAUACCGGAUACGAGACCUGCAGGCAUCUGCGGGUCUGGAAAGUUUUUCGGUUGAAGAUGACCUCGCGGCCUAUCAGCUUGUUGGUGAGGUAAUGGCUCACCAAGGCGACGACGGGUAGCCGGCCUGAGAGGGCGACCGGCCACACUGGGACUGAGACACGGCCCAGACUCCUACGGGAGGCAGCAGUGGGGAAUAUUGGGCAAUGGAGGGAACUCUGACCCAGCGACGCCGCGUGCGGGAUGAAGGCCUUCGGGUUGUAAACCGCUUUCAGCAAGGAAGAAGCGAAAGUGACGGUACUUGCAGAAGAGGCACCGGCUAACUAUGUG
Molecule: ribosomal RNA, 463 nt
Filed under: uncultured bacterium
Lineage: Bacteria
Description: bacterial SSU rRNA
Rfam family: Bacterial small subunit ribosomal RNA
Source: RNAcentral